AUACGUAGGGGGCUAGCGUUAUCCGGAAUUACUGGGCGUAAAGGGUGCGUAGGUGGUUUCUUAAGUCAGAAGUGAAAGGCUACGGCCCAACCGUAGUAAGCUUUUGAAACUAAGAGACUUGAGUGCAGGAGAGGAGAGUAGAAUUCCUAGUGUAGCGGUGAAAUGCGUAGAUAUUAGGAGGAAUACCAGUUGCGAAGGCGGCUCUCUGGACUGUAACUGACACUGAGGCACGAAAGCGUGGGGAGCAAACAGGAUUAGAUACCCUGGUAGUCCACGCCGUAAACGAUGAGUACUAGCUGUCGGGGGUUACCCCCCUCGGUGGCGCAGCUAACGCAUUAGGUACUCCGCCUGGGAAGUACGUCGGCAACGAUGAAACUCAAAGGAAUUGACGGGG
This 394-nucleotide ribosomal RNA is filed under the name uncultured bacterium. RNAcentral's name for it is "partial 16S ribosomal RNA". It matches the Rfam family "Bacterial small subunit ribosomal RNA", at positions 523 to 918 of the family's 1533-position model. The record is from RNAcentral.